This 2080-nucleotide long non-coding RNA is filed under the name Homo sapiens (human). RNAcentral describes it as "small nucleolar RNA host gene 28, transcript variant 3 (SNHG28)". Lineage: Eukaryota; Metazoa; Chordata; Mammalia; Primates; Hominidae. The record is from RNAcentral.
GUUUUCCACAGAGAGGACGCCGUGGCGCCCGGGUGCAAGGCCAGCGGGCGCGGCAGCCGCGUCACCCACCUCCUGGGGUACCCGACGCAGAACGUCAGCCGCUCCCUGCGCCGCAAGUACGCGCCUCCCCCCUGCGGCGGCCCCGAGGACGUGGCCCUGGCGCCCUGCACCGCCGCCGCCGCCUGCGAAGCGGGCCCCUCCCCGGUCUACGUCAAGGUCAAGAGCGCGGAGCCGGCUGACUGCGCCGAGGGGCCGGUGCAGUGCAAGAACGGCCUCUUGGUGAGAACAGAUGCAAAAACUAUUGCUCAAGGAAAAUAAAGUGAAAACGAGGAAAAGCAAAAGAAGAUCUGGAGAGGGCUCUCACCUGACCACAAGCAUCCUGGAGCAAUGAGUUUCAGGCAGGAAGACUCAUCCUGAGCUGAGCUGCUUUUCUUGAAGUUGUGCAAGAACGUCCUGUUGGCUGGGGCAAAUUCAGUAUUUCUUUUCCUGGCCACUGUGCUGGAGCGUGAGGAAAGACUCUCCACCCUCACUCCCAGAUCCUGCAGGAGGCGUGAGAGCGGAUGGAGAUGGUGAGGAUGUCUAUUAAUAUGGUGUUUCCUGCAAAACGGUGCCCAUCUCAACCAUGGGUUGUCAACCAUCCUCGGUGUCUACAACUGCAAUUUACCUUUGAGGGCCCAUGAACUCUGAUUACCUGAAAGUCCUUAGGCCAGAAAGAGAAACCCCUGUCCCCCACCUCUCACUUUCACCUAUUUCUAGACCUUUUCUUACAGCAAUGCCUUGGCCCUCAGGAAGCAUCAGAUCUCAAACUGCAGGGUCUGGGGCUGAAGCUGAUGCUGGCAUGGGUGACUCAGAGUUCCUCUAUUAGUUCAAAUAUGUAAUAUCUUUUAGAGCCUAGGACUCAGGCUGGAGGCAAUUCCUUGGUGCCAGUUGGUUAAUACUUUAUGAAUAGUGGUGGGGGAGGGAAUGCCUUGGACUAUUAAUGUCCCCAUGGAUCUGGAUCCUGGAGAACUUCCAGUGUCCUGGAUGGAAUGUUCUGCUUGGCUCAUCUUGCCCAGAGAAGAGCCAGGAUAUGAGAAGAUGGGAGAGGGAAGGGGGAGGUGUGAAACGUGCUGGUGCUUCCUGUCCUCGUGGUGUGAUGGCUGCCCAGGCUGCUCCUUCGAGGCAGGACAGGAUUCCCAUGGGAGAUAUGAGGACCAUGGUGAUUUCCAGGCACCAGUUAUGUCCCAGAGCAUCGUGUGCCUGUGCAGUGGGGUUACUGAUAGUCCAGGCAUCAGUUCAUAUUGUCCUUUAUGGCAGAUCCUGCACAAGGGGGUUCUCUGUCUCUGGACCCACUCUGUCAGCAUGGACAUCCUUUUUCUUUUUCCCUGGUAAGGACAUCAGAAAGAAAGUUACCCCUCCAGUGUUUGGAGUCUUGGAAUCCUUGGCCUGCCUGCAGGCCUCUGAAUCCUCAGUGUGUUAGCCCAAGGUCACCUUAGGUAAAGGAACAUUUCUCCUGGUCUUCCAACACCCUGGAAAGGGAGGCUCUUCAAGAAUAGGAAAUUCUUCCUAGUAUCUAACCUUGGCCUGCAACUAUGCCAUACAUUUAAUUGUAGAAGGUAUGGAAAGUUAGGACUGUGGUGGACCCAGUUAAAUCACUGGACAGAAGCCAUGAGGCAGAGCCAGAACCAGCUUCUGGACUCCCUGCAUGGAGCUUUCUACUAUCCCAGGUUGUUGGGUCCCUUCUCAGUGGCCAAAGAUGCUAUUUUAUGAGCCUUGAGGACAUGACACUAAGUGAAAAAAGCCUGGCCAAAGGGCCACAUAGUGUAUAGUUCUAUUUAUAUGAAAUGUCCAGGAAAGACAAAAGCAUAGAGGCAGAAAGCAGACUAGUGCUGUGGGAGGAAUGGGGGAUUUGGGAGGUGAUGGCUAAGGGGUUAUGGGGUUUUGGGGGAGGUAAUAGAAAUGUUUUAAAAUUGGUUGUGAAGGUGGAUGCCCAACUCUGCGAAUACACUAAAAGGCAUCGAAUUGUAUACUUUAAAUAGGUGAAUUGUAUGCUAUGUGAAUUAUAUCUCAAUAAAGGUAUUUUUUCCCUGCAAAAAAAAAA